RNAcentral lists this ribosomal RNA (1346 nucleotides) under uncultured euryarchaeote. RNAcentral's name for it is "16S ribosomal RNA". It matches the Rfam family "Archaeal small subunit ribosomal RNA". The record is from RNAcentral. Lineage: Archaea; Methanobacteriati; Methanobacteriota.
UGCUAUGGGGGUCCGACUAAGCCAUGCGAGUCAAGGGGGCGUCCCUUCUGGGACGCCACCGGCGGACGGCUCAGUAACACGUCGGUAACCUACCCUCGGGAGGGGGAUAACCCCGGGAAACUGGGGCUAAUCCCCCAUAGGCCUGGGGUACUGGAAGGUCCCCAGGCCGAAAGGGAGCCGUAAGGCUCCGCCCGAGGAUGGGACGGCGGCCGAUUAGGUAGUUGGUGGGGUAACGGCCCACCAAGCCGAAGAUCGGUACGGGCCGUGAGAGCGGGAGCCCGGAGAUGGACACUGAGACACGGGUCCAGGCCCUACGGGGCGCAGCAGGCGCGAAACCUCCGCAAUGCGGGAAACCGCGACGGGGGGACCCCCAGUGCCGUGCCUCUGGCACGGCUUUUCCGGAGUGUAAAAAGCUCCGGGAAUAAGGGCUGGGCAAGGCCGGUGGCAGCCGCCGCGGUAAUACCGGCGGCCCGAGUGGUGGCCACUAUUAUUGGGCCUAAAGCGGCCGUAGCCGGGCCCGUAAGUCCCUGGCGAAAUCCCACGGCUCAACCAUGGGGCUCGCUGGGGAUACUGCGGGCCUUGGGACCGGGAGAGGCCGGGGGUACCCCCGGGGUAGGGGUGAAAUCCUAUAAUCCCGGGGGGACCGCCAGUGGCGAAGGCGCCCGGCUGGAACGGGUCCGACGGUGAGGGCCGAAGGCCAGGGGAGCAAACCGGAUUAGAUACCCGGGUGGUCCUGGCUGUAAAGGAUGCGGGCUAGGUGUCGGGCGAGCUUCGGGCUCGCCCGGUGCCGUAGGGAAGCCGUUAAGCCCGCCGCCUGGGGAGUACGGCCGCAAGGCUGAAACUUAAAGGAAUUGGCGGGGGAGCACUACAAGGGGUGGAGCGUGCGGUUUAAUUGGAUUCAACGCCGGGAACCUCACCGGGGGCGACGGCAGGAUGAAGGCCAGGCUGAAGGUCUUGCCGGACGCGCCGAGAGGAGGUGCAUGGCCGCCGUCAGCUCGUACCGUGAGGCGUCCACUUAAGUGUGGUAACGAGCGAGACCCGCGCCCCCAGUUGCCAGUCCCUCCCGCUCGGGAGGGAGGCACUCUGGGGGGACUGCCGGCGAUAAGCCGGAGGAAGGGGCGGGCGACGGUAGGUCAGUAUGCCCCGAAACCCCCGGGCUACACGCGCGCUACAAUGGGCGGGACAAUGGGACCCGACCCCGAAAGGGGAAGGGAAUCCCCUAAACCCGCCCUCAGUUCGGAUCGCGGGCUGCAACUCGCCCGCGUGAAGCUGGAAUCCCUAGUACCCGCGUGUCAUCAUCGCGCGGCGAAUACGUCCCUGCUCCUUGCACACACCGCCCCUCAAUC